AGGAUUCCAAAUGAAUGAGAAGUUAGUUAGAAACAAACUGUGCUCUUCCCAUCUAUUCACUGCUCCCUCCUGCAGCUCCCGGCGCCCCCGCCGCUGUCGCCGCCUCGGUGUCCCCCAGCUCCAGUCCCGCUCUUAG
This 136-nucleotide long non-coding RNA is filed under the name Callithrix jacchus (white-tufted-ear marmoset). RNAcentral's name for it is "lncRNA (ENSCJAG00000071065.1)". The record is from RNAcentral. Lineage: Eukaryota; Metazoa; Chordata; Mammalia; Primates; Cebidae.